UACAGAGGUCCCAAGCGUUGUUCGGAUUCACUGGGCGUAAAGAGCGUGUAGGCGGCCACUUAAGUCCUGCGUGAAAUCUUGCGGCUCAACCGCAAGCGGUCGUGGGAAACUGGGUGGCUAGAGUGCGGGAGAGGAGAGUGGAAUUCCUGGUGUAGCGGUGAAAUGCGUAGAGAUCGGGAGGAACACCAGUGGCGAAGGCGGCCUUCUGGACCAAUACUGACGCUCAUGCACGAAAGCGUGGGGAGCAAACAGG
This 253-nucleotide ribosomal RNA is filed under the name uncultured bacterium. RNAcentral describes it as "partial 16S ribosomal RNA". It matches the Rfam family "Bacterial small subunit ribosomal RNA", at positions 524 to 776 of the family's 1533-position model. The record is from RNAcentral.